GAUGAAGAACGUAGCGAAAUGCGAUAAGUAGUGUGAAUUGCAGAAUUCAGUGAAUCAUCGAAUCUUUGAACGCACAUUGCGCCCGCCAGUAUUCUGGCGGGCAUGCCUGUUCGAGCGUCAUUUCAACCAUCAAGCCCCUGGCUUGUGUUGGGGACCUGCGGCUGCCGCAGGCCCUGAAAACCAGUGGCGGGCUCGCUGUCACACCGGGCGUAGUAGAUUAUAUCUCGCUCAGGGCGUGCUGCGGGUUCCGGCCGUUAAAAAGCCUUAUUUACCCAAGGUUGACCUCGGAUCAGGUAGGAAUACCCGCUGAACUUAAGCAUAUCAAUAAGCGGAGGA
This 336-nucleotide unclassified non-coding RNA is filed under the name soil metagenome. RNAcentral describes it as "partial contains 5.8S ribosomal RNA, internal transcribed spacer 2, and large subunit ribosomal RNA". The stretch from base 1 to 120 matches the Rfam family "5.8S ribosomal RNA", at positions 35 to 154 of the family's 154-position model. The record is from RNAcentral.